This 855-nucleotide long non-coding RNA is filed under the name Monodelphis domestica (gray short-tailed opossum). RNAcentral describes it as "lncRNA (ENSMODG00000045177.1)". Lineage: Eukaryota; Metazoa; Chordata; Mammalia; Didelphimorphia; Didelphidae. The record is from RNAcentral.
AUGUCCACCUUUGUCCCAGGGAUGCGGCUCAGCCUGGAGAGAGGCUGGGCCUUCCUUGCUGCGUGCUUCUCGGCUCACAGCCUUGGCAGCGGCGUUGGAGGCCAUCUUGGUCACCUCCUGCCCAAAUGCCCCCUGUCGCCCUGCACUCUCUGUCUGCGUCUGUCUCUGUCUCUGUCUGUCUGUCUGUCUGUCUGUCUGUCUCUAUUUCUCUGUCUCUGCCCCUCUGUCUCUGUCUGUCUGUCUCUAUUUCUGUCUCUGUCUAUCUGUCUCUAUUUCUCUGUCUCUGUCUCUCUAUUUCUCUGUCUCUCUAUUUCUCUGUCUCUGCCCCUCUGUCUCUGUCUGUCUGUCUGUCUCUAUUUCUGUCUCUGUCUGUCUCUGUCUCUGCCCUUCUGUCUCUCUAUUUCUCUGUCUGUCUGUCUGUCUCUCUCUAUUUCUGUCUCGGCCCCCCAGCCAAUAGAGAUGGCUGGGGAUGGAGAGAACGCCCGGAGCUGGGCCUCCAGGGAGAAAAUCCCAAGUUCAGAUCCUUCUUCAGCCCAUUUAGGAAACGGAGGCCAGCGAGGUAAAGUGACUGGCCCAGGGUCACCCAGCCAGACUGGAACCCAGGCCUCUGGACUCCCGGCCUUGGAUCUCUCUUGUCCGUCUCUGGUGUCGGAAUGGAAGCUCCCAACGGCAAGCUUGUCUGGGUUUUCUUCGCCUUCCUGCCUUGAGGCUGGCCCCCUUCCCUCUCUCUUACAGGAGGCCGUAGGUGCCCUGUGCUGCCUCUACAGAUCCCAGCGGGAGUUUGCGCCCAUCACGGAGGCCUCCUCGGUGCAAUGCCAGCCCUGCAUUUGUGACACUCCCAAAUGUGUCCAAUGA